RNAcentral lists this long non-coding RNA (723 nucleotides) under Anas platyrhynchos platyrhynchos (common mallard). Its description in RNAcentral is "lncRNA (ENSAPLG00000020207.1)". The record is from RNAcentral. Lineage: Eukaryota; Metazoa; Chordata; Aves; Anseriformes; Anatidae.
GGAUUACGGCUACAACGCCGGCGCCCUCGCCCUGCCCGUGCCCCUCGCCAACGUCCACGUCCUGCUGCCCCUGGACGAGCCCGUCACCAACGUGCGGCUGCAGCCGGCUGCCAGCUGGAACCUGGAGGAGAAGAGGCUGCUCUGGAAGCUGCUGGACGUCCCCGGUGCGCCGGGGCAGGGAGGCAGCGGCCGGCUCUCGGCCAGCUGGGAGCCCCUGUGCGGGCCCAGUAAGCCCAGUCCCGUGGCAGCCCAGUUCAGCAGCGAGGGCAGCACCCUGUCGGGCGUCGAGGUGGAGCUGGCGAGCGCCGGUUACCGCAUGUCGCUGGUCAAGAAGAGGUUUGCUACGGGUAUGGCCACCUGGGCCCCAUAAGCACGGGUUCCUUGCCUUGUCUUGCAUGUAGGGGGGGGUCCCUUCCCCGCCCCAUAGGGUGCACGGGGUCCCUUCCCUGUCCCCUAUAGCCCCGAGGUGCAUGGGGUCAUUUCCUCAUCCCCUAUAGUCCUGGGGCGCACGGGGUCCCUUCCUUGUACCCUAUUGUCCUAGGGUGCACGGGGUCCCUUCCUUGUCCCCUAUAGUCCUGGGGUGCAUGGGGUCAUUUCCCCAUCCCCUAUAGUCCUGGGGUGCACGGGGUCCCUUCCCUGUCCCCUACAGCCCCGGGGUGCACAGGGUCCUUUCUCCAUUCCCUAUGGUCCUGGGGGGCAUGGGGUCUCUUUCCCAUCCCCUAC